AUGCUCAGCUGGCUAGCUAGUGCCGGACCCGCUGUAGGGAGAGGCAGCCAGGGCUCCAGGGCCGCCCCGCACCCCACAUCGUGCUGGGCACCGCCAUGUUCCCCUCCUACACGCUGCGCCACGCGGCUGGCCCGCCCUCCCUCCCCUCCUUUGAGACUGCUUUCCCCGUCCCUCGAGUCUCUCACCUCUCCCUGCCCUUUAUUCUCCCCUCACAGCCCUCCCAGACACCCAGCAAGGAGCAAAAUGGCCAGGGCAGCACCCCCUGUUUCCGGAGAACUGCAGCAAGGGGUGGACGACCUGGGGGACCAGGGACCCCAGACCCGCCUGGAGCCCUGGGGGUGGCCACAGCCCCGGGAGGGCUGGAUCCGGAGGACUGGCCAGCAGGAUCGCUCAGGAUGGAAGUCUUCUAUUCAAAGCUCCAGCCUGGACGCCUUGGAAGUGACCUGUCCUGAGCUGGACAGCCAAGACGUGGUGGUGGCGGCUGUGCUGGGCUCCAGCUCAUGGUGGCCUCCAGGUGGGCACUGGGGCCUUAGGGGACAGGGUUGCUUUUCAUGGUUCGGCUGAGGGGAUGGCAGAGCUGUCCUGUAUUCCGCCGCCUCUGCCCAUGGAUGCGGCCGCAUGUGGGUCUCCAUCUUUGUCCCAUCCUUGACCAUCUCACUAAGACUCAGGGAGCCACAGUGGCCGCUCCCCCACUAGCUGGCUGGGAAAAGGCCCACAGUGCUGAGCACACACCAGGGCGGCCGGGGAUUGAUCACUGCCUGAAUGUCCCCAGACGGAUGCCCGUGUGCCCUUGGGCAGCCUUCCCCUCGGACAGGCUGUCCAGGCUGGGAAACCCUAAGCCAGAGGGAUUAAGAAGAAAGGACAGAGUUGACUGUCCCCUUGGCGAAUUUGUGCUUCAUUUAGGGUAUAUUUGCUCGGUGGUCAAAACACAGAGGUGAUGGUGCUAAGGGUCCAGACACGUCCCAUCUGCCUGGCCAGCCUCCUACAGAUCCCCAGCCCCGUCCAGCCCUGCCCGCCGCGCCCCGGGCCUGCCUCUCCCCUCACAGCCAUCCUGCACAUUCCGGUGUCCCAGUGGCGAUGGGGGGUGGGGUGGGGGAAGGGUCCCCAAUACACCAGGGGGUGCACGGACCCUCAGUAUGGGUGCUGAGGCAGCUCUCUGUGGAAAUGCAGGAUUGGGUCAGGACCCCAGAGCCAUGCAGGGCCCUCUGCCCCCAGCCAGGACUCUGAGUCCCUCUUGCCAGCCUCUGCUGCUCCGUGAGAGGUAGGAGCUACCAGCCUGGGGUCCAGGCCAGGCACACUCAGGAUGCCUGCCUG
Molecule: long non-coding RNA, 1314 nt
Filed under: Macaca mulatta (Rhesus monkey)
Lineage: Eukaryota; Metazoa; Chordata; Mammalia; Primates; Cercopithecidae
Description: lncRNA (ENSMMUG00000061409.1)
Source: RNAcentral